GAAGUUGCAUUUGGUUAUUCAGGGGGAUCGGGGACCUAAUAAAGGUUUGGGGGGCGCCAUUGGAGGGUAGGGCCUCUAGAAGUUCCUGUGGGUGGUCCGGGACAGCUUCUAGUGAGCUUGGCAAAGUCCGCUCAGGAAGAAGAGUCUGAUUGGUGGGACGAGGGGGUUUUUCUCAAAUGACGUCACUUCCUUGUGGGCUGACCGCCCAUAUGGGAAGCGAGUUGCCAGGUGUGUUGAGGUGAGAAACAGCAGCUGUGGGAUGAGACUCCGAACAUCUCCUACCAUCUGCUGUGUGACCUUGAAUUUGCCACCGUCCCUUCCUCCUCCCCACCCUGGAACCCAUUUCCAAGACUGUGCCAUGAAGGUGGUUGUCACCGAUGGUCUCUGGGAACUUUCCCAAUCUUACCCAUUCAAGGAUCGCAGGAAGGAACAGGACGGCGGGAACUGGACCAGGGUCAUCUGUGAGCUCAGCACGCACCUGCUCCUCCUGGAGACUUCGGAUGAUCUUCCUGACCUUGAACAUAACUCUCAGAACCACACAUCCCAAAGCUCCAGUAGAGGUCAUCUAGAAUGGAGGUGACCAGGCAGUAUCUAGCCUCCCUGGACCCUUUUUUCCAACCUGCCACGGUAUCAGCGUUCCCAGCAGCCUCGUGUCCUGCACAUAAGCUGUUAAGUGGCCAUCUGUGCACUGAUAGAAAAGACUGAACAAGACGUACGUGGUCAAGUUCAGGGAAAGCCCGGGCGUCUCCAGGGACCCGCCAGGUGCCCUGGAAGAGAGUCUUUGCCCCAGCAGCCAUAGGAGACAAGUUGCCAGAAAUCAACCCCAAUCCCUCAUUCUAAGACUGGUGACCGGGAAGGCCGAGAACCUCGAAAAAUGGGAGCAGAACAGAGCAGGCUUCUCAUGACUUUGCCACAGCUCUACUGUGAUGUGUGUGUGAUCAUUUCUACCGUUCUGCUUGGCACGAGCUUAAACUGGGUGUGGCGAUGCUGGAAUACAUCAUCUUUUUUCUUAGGAACAGGCGACCCUGUAUUAACAUCCUCCUGCCUUGCCCAUGUGUGUAAUGGUUCCUCUGAUAUUUCUGUCUAAGUCUCUGCAACCGUAUCUUCAAGUUCUCUCAGAAGCUUCCAAGAAUAAUUCAUUUAUGUUAGGAGAAGACAAAGUCAUCUAAACUGGGCUAGCUGUCCAGAAAACAUAAAAAAAAUAAAAAAUAAA
Molecule: long non-coding RNA, 1213 nt
Organism: Mus musculus (house mouse)
Lineage: Eukaryota; Metazoa; Chordata; Mammalia; Rodentia; Muridae
Product: predicted gene, 36750
Exons: 3
Source: RefSeq, a predicted model, not a curated record